Peromyscus maniculatus bairdii (prairie deer mouse) is the source of this 514-nucleotide long non-coding RNA. RefSeq lists it as uncharacterized. The record is from RefSeq and is a predicted model, not a curated record. Lineage: Eukaryota; Metazoa; Chordata; Mammalia; Rodentia; Cricetidae.
UCAAAAAACCUGGGUCCUCUGCAGAGUUACACUUUGGGUUUGUUUUAAUGUUUAACCUGUCUGUGGGACAAAGUUCUCUGCCUAGAUGGAAAGUUACAUGUUGCUUUUAGUCUUUCCUCCUACAAUAACGCCCACUUCAGAUUUAAAAAUAAGCAAUUUCCUGUGUUUGAGAAAGUGAAACUCAGAAACUUUAGAGAACCCACCCAGGCUGUAGAAGGAGAAGACUCUGAGCAGCUUCAGAGAAGAUCCCAGACCUGUCCAGAGGCCUGCAAGCUGUGAAGUUUCAGCUGUGCUGUUCCCAGAGUCACCACCUGUGUUGAGGUGGGCUCUGUAGUGAUGUAGCUGCUGUGAACUCAUCCCAGCUCCUCCCCUUGCUUGGACAUGGUGAACGGGUGGUGGUAGUGCAGGCAUUACCACUCACAAAUGGAGCUUCCACCAGGAUCAGAGAAAGAAGGGACGUAGCUGAUGGACACCCGAAAGUGAGGCUGGCCAGCAUUUUAAAGAAAAGAGAAGG